GACGAACGCUGGCGGCGUGCCUAACACAUGCAAGUCGAACGGAAGUUAGAGCUUCGGUUUUAACUUUAGUGGCGAACGGGUGAGUAACGCGUGGGCAACCUGCCCUCUAGAUGGGGACAACAUCCCGAAAGGGGUGCUAAUACCGAAUGUGACAGCAAUCUCGCAUGAGGAUGCUGUGAAAAGAUGGCCUCGCGUCCGAUUAGAUAGUUGGUGAGGUAACGGCUCACCAAGUCGACGAUCGGUAGCCGGACUGAGGGGUUGAACGGCCACAAUUGGGACUGAGACACGGCCCAGACUCCUACGGAGGCAGCAGUGGGGAAUAUUGCACAAUGGGCGAAAGCCUGAUGCAGCAACGCCG
This 358-nucleotide ribosomal RNA is filed under the name uncultured bacterium. RNAcentral describes it as "bacterial SSU rRNA". It matches the Rfam family "Bacterial small subunit ribosomal RNA", at positions 28 to 399 of the family's 1533-position model. The record is from RNAcentral.